CAUGGCCAUGCUUUUCCCCGUCUGCAAAUUUCUUGCCAGGUACACCUUCGCGAAGGUUCCGUGGCCUAGCAUACGCCCCAGCUCGUAUUUCCCAUGUAGCAACGUCGGCCUGUCAUCGCCUCCGCCGUUACUGUUUGAUGUAGCCAUCUCCACGCGGUCUUUUUUUUCCUUUUAUACGUAUAUAUGUACCAAGUUUAGCUAAUUAAAUAAUUCUUUCAGGUUUUCUUUUGUGUUGUGGUGGUGGUUGAGGAUCACCCGUCUUCGACGUGUUUCCGGUGGCAAUUACGGCCGCCGACGCACCGCUGGG
RNAcentral lists this long non-coding RNA (307 nucleotides) under Citrus x clementina. Its description in RNAcentral is "Citrus clementina (C. clementina) long non-coding RNA (CCLE_LNC006904)". The record is from RNAcentral. Lineage: Eukaryota; Viridiplantae; Streptophyta; Magnoliopsida; Sapindales; Rutaceae.